RNAcentral lists this non-coding RNA (148 nucleotides) under Homo sapiens (human). The record is from Rfam by way of RNAcentral. Lineage: Eukaryota; Metazoa; Chordata; Mammalia; Primates; Hominidae.
GCCAGGCAUGGUGGUGCGUGCCUGUGGUCCCAGCUACUCAGGAGGCUGAGGCAGGAGGAUAGCUUGAGCCCAGGAGGUCAAGGCUGCAGUGAGCCAUGGUCGUGCCAGCACACCCUAGCCUGAGUGAUAGAGCGAGACCCUGUCUCUA